RNAcentral lists this ribosomal RNA (505 nucleotides) under uncultured bacterium. RNAcentral's name for it is "partial 16S ribosomal RNA". It matches the Rfam family "Bacterial small subunit ribosomal RNA", at positions 28 to 507 of the family's 1533-position model. The record is from RNAcentral.
GACGAACGCUGGCGGCGUGCCUAAUACAUGCAAGUAGAACGCACAGUUUAUACCGUAGCUUGCUACACCAUAGACUGUGAGUUGCGAACGGGUGAGUAACGCGUAGGUAACCUGCCUGGUAGCGGGGGAUAACUAUUGGAAACGAUAGCUAAUACCGCAUAAUAUUAAUUAUUGCAUGAUAAUUAAUUGAAAGGUGCAAUUGCACCACUACCAGAUGGACCUGCGUUGUAUUAGCUAGUAGGUGAGGUAACGGCUCACCUAGGCGACGAUACAUAGCCGACCUGAGAGGGUGUUCGGCCACACUGGGACUGAGACACGGCCCAGACUCCUACGGGAGGCAGCAGUAGGGAAUCUUCGGCAAUGGACGAAAGUCUGACCGAGCAACGCCGCGUGAGUGAAGAAGGUUUUCGGAUCGUAAAGCUCUGUUGUAAGAGAAGAACGGGUGUGAGAGUGGAAAGUUCACACUGUGACGGUAGCUUACCAGAAAGGGACGGCUAACUACGUG